RNAcentral lists this ribosomal RNA (363 nucleotides) under uncultured bacterium. Its description in RNAcentral is "bacterial SSU rRNA". It matches the Rfam family "Bacterial small subunit ribosomal RNA", at positions 43 to 388 of the family's 1533-position model. The record is from RNAcentral.
GGCCGCGGGAAGUCGGUUCAGGCCUAAGACAUGCAAGUCGAGCGGUAGAGAGAAGCUUGCUUCUCUUGAGAACGGCGGACGGGUGAGUAAUGCCUAGGAAUCUGCCUGGUAGUGGGGGAUAACGUUGGGAAACGGACGCGUAAUACGCGCAUACGUCCUACGGGAGAAAGCAGGGGACCUUCGGGCCUUGCGCUAUCAGAUGAGCCUAGGUCGGAUUAGCUAGUUGGUGAGGUAAUGGCUCACCAAGGCGACGAUCCGUAACUGGUCUGAGAGGAUGAUCGGUCACACUGGAACUGAGACGCGGUCCAGACUCCUACGGGAGGCAGCAGUGGGGAAUAUUGGACAAUGGGCGAAAGCCUGAUC